GACGAACGCUGGCGGCGUGCCUAAUACAUGCAAGUAGAACGCUGAAGGAGGAGCUUGCUUCUCUGGAUGAGUUGCGAACGGGUGAGUAACGCGUAGGUAACCUGCCUGGUAGCGGGGGAUAACUAUUGGAAACGAUAGCUAAUACCGCAUAAUAGUAGAUGUUGCAUGACAUUUGCUUAAAAGGUGCAAUUGCAUCACUACCAGAUGGACCUGCGUUGUAUUAGCUAGUUGGUGGGGUAACGGCUCACCAAGGCGACGAUACAUAGCCGACCUGAGAGGGUGAUCGGCCACACUGGGACUGAGACACGGCCCAGACUCCUACGGGAGGCAGCAGUAGGGAAUCUUCGGCAAUGGACGGAAGUCUGACUGAGCAACACCGCGUGAGUGAAGAAGGUUUUCGGAUCGUAAAGCUCUGUUGUAAGAGAAGAACGAGUGUGAGAGUGGAAAGUUCACACUGUGACGGUAUCUUACCAGAAAGGGACGGCUAACUACGUG
RNAcentral lists this ribosomal RNA (495 nucleotides) under uncultured bacterium. Its description in RNAcentral is "partial 16S ribosomal RNA". It matches the Rfam family "Bacterial small subunit ribosomal RNA", at positions 28 to 507 of the family's 1533-position model. The record is from RNAcentral.